UGGGGAAUUUUGGACAAUGGGCGAAAGCCUGAUCCAGCAAUGCCGCGUGUGUGAAGAAGGCCUUCGGGUUGUAAAGCACUUUUGUCCGGAAAGAAAUGGCUCUGGUUAAUACCAGGGGUCGAUGACGGUACCGGAAGAAUAAGGACCGGCUAACUACGUGCCAGCAGCCGCGGUAAUACGUAGGGUCCAAGCGUUAAUCGGAAUUACUGGGCGUAAAGCGUGCGCAGGCGGUUGUGCAAGACCGAUGUGAAAUCCCCGAGCUUAACUUGGGAAUUGCAUUGGUGACUGCACGGCUAGAGUGUGUCAGAGGGGGGUAGAAUUCCACGUGUAGCAGUGAAAUGCGUAGAGAUGUGGAGGAAUACCGAUGGCGAAGGCAGCCCCCUGGGAUAACACUGACGCUCAUGCACGAAAGCGUGGGGAGCAAACAGG
RNAcentral lists this ribosomal RNA (429 nucleotides) under Bacillota bacterium. RNAcentral's name for it is "Firmicutes bacterium partial 16S ribosomal RNA". It matches the Rfam family "Bacterial small subunit ribosomal RNA", at positions 355 to 776 of the family's 1533-position model. RNAcentral also lists the same sequence under 1 other name. Lineage: Bacteria; Bacillati; Bacillota. The record is from RNAcentral.